GAUGAACGCUAGCGGCAGGCCUAACACAUGCAAGUCGAGGGGUAGGGUUAGCUUGCUAACUUGAGACCGGCGCACGGGUGCGUAACGCGUAUGCAAUCUACCUUGUACAGAGGGAUAGCCCAGAGAAAUUUGGAUUAAUACCUCAUAGUAUCUUUACCUGGCAUCGGGUAAUUAUUAAAGUUCCAACGGUACAAGAUGAGCAUGCGUCCCAUUAGUUAGUUGGUAAGGUAACGGCUUACCAAGACAAUGAUGGGUAGGGGUCCUGAGAGGGAGAUCCCCCACACUGGUACUGAGACACGGACCAGACUCCUACGGGAGGCAGCAGUGAGGAAUAUUGGUCAAUGGACGCAAGUCUGAACCAGCCAUGCCGCGUGCAGGAAGACGGUCCUAUGGAUUGUAAACUGCUUUUAUACAGG
This 416-nucleotide ribosomal RNA is filed under the name uncultured bacterium. Its description in RNAcentral is "bacterial SSU rRNA". It matches the Rfam family "Bacterial small subunit ribosomal RNA", at positions 28 to 444 of the family's 1533-position model. The record is from RNAcentral.